UGGGGAAUUUUGGACAAUGGGCGAAAGCCUGAUCCAGCAAUGCCGCGUGUGUGAAGAAGGCCUUCGGGUUGUAAAGCACUUUUGUCCGGAAAGAAAUGGCUCUGGUUAAUACCUGGGGUCGAUGACGGUACCGGAAGAAUAAGGACCGGCUAACUACGUGCCAGCAGCCGCGGUAAUACGUAGGGUCCAAGCGUUAAUCGGAAUUACUGGGCGUAAAGCGUGCGCAGGCGGUUGUGCAAGACCGAUGUGAAAUCCCCGAGCUUAACUUGGGAAUUGCAUUGGUGACUGCACGGCUAGAGUGUGUCAGAGGGGGGUAGAAUUCCACGUGUAGCAGUGAAAUGCGUAGAGAUGUGGAGGAAUACCGAUGGCGAAGGCAGCCCCCUGGGAUAACACUGACGCUCAUGCACGAAAGCGUGGGGAGCAAACAGGAUUAGAUACCCUGGUAGUCCACGCCCUAAACGAUGUCAACUAGUUGUUGGGGAUUCAUUUCCUUAGUAACGUAGCUAACGCGUGAAGUUGGACCGCCUGGGGAGUACGGUCGCAAGAUUAAAAGCUC
This 556-nucleotide ribosomal RNA is filed under the name uncultured bacterium. Its description in RNAcentral is "partial 16S ribosomal RNA". It matches the Rfam family "Bacterial small subunit ribosomal RNA", at positions 355 to 902 of the family's 1533-position model. The record is from RNAcentral.